This 392-nucleotide ribosomal RNA is filed under the name uncultured soil bacterium. RNAcentral describes it as "bacterial SSU rRNA". It matches the Rfam family "Bacterial small subunit ribosomal RNA", at positions 975 to 1368 of the family's 1533-position model. The record is from RNAcentral.
CACCUUUUGACAUGCCCUGAUCGCUGGAGAGAUCCAGUUUUCCCUUCGGGGACAGGGACACAGGUGCUGCGUGGCUGUCGUCAGCUCGUGUCGUGAGAUGUUGGGUUAAGUCCCGCAACGAGCGCAACCCUCGCCCUUAGUUGCCAGCAUUCAGUUGGGCACUCUAAGGGGACUGCCGGUGAUAAGCCGAGAGGAAGGUGGGGAUGACGUCAAGUCCUCAUGGCCCUUACGGGCUGGGCUACACACGUGCUACAAUGGUGGUGACAGUGGGCAGCGAGCACGCGAGUGUGAGCUAAUCUCCAAAAGCCAUCUCAGUUCGGAUUGCACUCUGCAACUCGAGUGCAUGAAGUUGGAAUCGCUAGUAAUCGCGGAUCAGCAUGCCGCGGUGAAUA